GAAAAAACUAAUGAAAAAGAAGCGAGGCAAGCACUCCAUCAACAAAGAGAGGAUCAUCUUACACUGCAAAAAACUGAGAGAAUGAAAUACUACAAACAUGCACAAAAAGCAAGACAACAUCCAGACAAGUAUAUCAGCAUCAUUAUUGAUGGAAUGGACCAGAAAUCAACAAGUAUUCCCAAAUUUUACAGAACAUCCAAAUCAGUAUCAUCAGCAUGGAAACUUCCAACACACAUCACCGGAACGAUAGUGCAUGGGAGGGGACAACACAUGUUCCUUGACAACAAAGAAUACCCACAUGAUUCGAACCUUACCGCAACGAUCCUUCUCCAGGUUCUUCAUAAAUAUUCCACCACGCUACCAGACACAUUAUACCUUCAAAUGGAUAACUGUGGGAGGGAGAACAAGAAUCAGUGUCUCCUUGGACUCUGUGCUCUUCUAGUGGAACUCGACGUGUUCAAAAAGGUAAAACUGUGCUUUUUGAUGAAGGGGCACACACACGAAGACAUCGAUCAGCUAUUUAGCCGCAUAUCCACAUAUACAUCUAAG
Long non-coding RNA from Strongylocentrotus purpuratus (purple sea urchin), 549 nucleotides. RefSeq lists it as uncharacterized. NCBI's taxonomy places the organism in Eukaryota, Metazoa, Echinodermata, Echinoidea, Camarodonta, Strongylocentrotidae. The record is from RefSeq and is a predicted model, not a curated record. The transcript has 3 exons.